GUUGCGUAAAGUGAAGCGUAUUUGGUUUGGGUCCAAAAUGUUGAAGGUUCAAUUCCUUUCG
This 61-nucleotide transfer RNA is filed under the name Pelagodinium bei. Its description in RNAcentral is "Pelagodinium beii tRNA". It matches the Rfam family "tRNA", at positions 7 to 65 of the family's 71-position model. Rfam says of the family: Transfer RNA (tRNA) molecules are approximately 80 nucleotides in length. Lineage: Eukaryota; Dinophyceae; Suessiales; Suessiaceae. The record is from RNAcentral.